Molecule: long non-coding RNA, 480 nt
Filed under: Vulpes vulpes (red fox)
Lineage: Eukaryota; Metazoa; Chordata; Mammalia; Carnivora; Canidae
Description: lncRNA (ENSVVUG00000014178.1)
Source: RNAcentral
GCAUUUACAUAAUUUUUUAAAGUAAAUAUUGUUGGUUUAAGAUGUUUAUAGUUAUAUGAUUUCUUUAUAAGCUGAAACAUCUGUGCCUGAGCCAUCACCAUACUGCAUUCAGAAGUAAUCAAAACUAGUUCCAGUGCAUUGAAGAAAGGAUUUCUGAAUCAAUGGAAAUUAAGAAUGGCUGCUAUGUUUCCUGGGGAUUCACCAUGAAAGCAUUUUAUUCUCUGCGGAAACAUUACAGCCCUGUGAGUAAUGCCAUGGAACCAAAAGCUUGUUUAAUUGGCAGUGGAAAGAAGCCAUUUAACAGGUACCAAAGCAAGUCUUUCAGGUAUAAUAUGAAACCAAGUGAAAUAACUAACAUCUUUGAAUAGGAUGAUAUUUCCCAGUGUGUUAGUAUUUUUAUUUUUCCCUUUAGUCUUUCUUUUUAAACACCUGAAUCUAAUUUAUAUCAUUCAGAUUAAAACACGCAAAGCUUGAGUGGAA